This 1479-nucleotide long non-coding RNA is filed under the name Monodelphis domestica (gray short-tailed opossum). RNAcentral describes it as "lncRNA (ENSMODG00000051513.1)". Lineage: Eukaryota; Metazoa; Chordata; Mammalia; Didelphimorphia; Didelphidae. The record is from RNAcentral.
UUUGGCAGUCUGAUGAUCUUCUCAAAAUAAUGAUUUUAAGGAAUAAAAUAGAACAACAAAGGAAAUUCAUCCUAUUGAAAUAAUUGUCAAAAUAUCUUUUAUUUUGUCUAAAUCACAGACCCCAGGUCUCUAUGCUUAGACAGACUAGGUUUUGAAAAAGCUCAUUCCCUGAAGGAACCAUUACCUGUCCUGUGAGACAGUCAUUCUCUGACAACUCUUGCUUUGUAGAUGAGGAAAUGACUCAUAUUUGCGAAGUCAUUGGGUCAUUAAAAUCAUCAUGCAAUUCAGCAAAAAGCAGACCUGCCUCAUGCUCCUGUUGCCUGGGAAGUGUGGCAUGAGUAAGCGUCCAGGUCAUCCUUGCUCCCUCUUCUCCAAAUAACCCCGGGUCCUUUUGUCAAGACUCUUCUUACACAGUCUCGUUGACUGGAAAGGUGCCUGCCUGGUCACAGGUUGGCAUGACUCACCGUGCUACUCAACCCCGGCUCAACACACGUUUCAAGGAAUCAGAUCAGCUCUAUGAUGUCACCCCACUGGGCUUCUGUGGGAGACGGCGAGAUUGUUCAGAGCAGGGCACACAGUGUUUUUAAACAAGCAGGACGUCUGACGUCAGGGGGAGAGAUACGGGGGAUGGAGGAGGGAGAAGCAGGUAUGCGACCUUCCAGGUGGUGUUUGAAGGCACACAUGCUGCACCCGCAAGAAUCUGAGGGAAGUCUGACUUCUGAAAGCAGCCCUCAGAGAAAAAUGGCAGACAGAUCGGGAGGGAAGAAGCCUGCAAAACUCUGAAAGAGAACGUUUAAAUUCACUCCAGGUCUAGAAGAUGAGAAACUCAAGGGUCUGUAGCAAGAAGCUUGUAUUGAUUGUUCUCCUCAGUCCCCCUAAAAUCUAAGCCAAUCCCAUCCCACUACCUUUGGGGUUGUUCAGUUUAGAUUGGGUGUCACAAGCAAACGGCAUGACAAAAAGUGAGAAGAAUAUUUACCGACAGACGCUGCCUGGGGUUAAUAUAUUAGUCAGAGAAUACCAAUAGUAAGAGCAGUUUCUGUAUUAAUCAGUUUGUCCUCAGUGUGAGCAACAGUCUGUUCUGAGAAAGAGAGCAAGGUGGCUCACCAAUUCUUUACGUAAUCACAGCCAAGAUGAAAGGCUUUUAAUUCAAUUGGCUGUGCUGUCUGUUUUUUUCUGAUGGAUGGAGCAGGCACAGUCCGGAUAGAAAGGGGAUGGAAGUGGUAAGGGUCAGUUCGAGAAUUCUCUUGAAAAAAACUGAGGCUAUUUUAUGAAAUGUGAACAUUGAUCUUUAACUUGCCUAUAAAAUGUAGCCUACUGGGUAAUAAUGCAUGUAUAACCCGGAUUGAAUUGCUUGCCAAUUCCGGGAGGGAGGAAAGAAGAAAGGAGGAAGACAAUUUGGAUCAUAUAACUUUAGAAAACUUAGGUGGAGAUUUGUUAUUUAAAUUAAAAAAUAAAAUAAAAUUUAAAUAAAUAAAUACA